Non-coding RNA from Microcebus murinus (gray mouse lemur), 465 nucleotides. NCBI's taxonomy places the organism in Eukaryota, Metazoa, Chordata, Mammalia, Primates, Cheirogaleidae. The record is from the annotation of a RefSeq genome assembly.
GGACCAGGGGCAGUGUGCACCAUGGCCUGGGCUCCUCUCCUGCUCGUGCUCCUCUCUCACUGCACAGGUUCCCUGUCCCAGCCUGUGCUGACCCAGCCGUCCUCCCUCUCUGCAUCUCCUGGAGCAUCAGCCAGACUCACCUGCACCCUGAGCAGUGGCUUCAGUGUUGGCAGUUAUGGUAUAGCCUGGCACCAGCAGAAGGCAGGGAGCCCGCCCCGGUACCUGCUGUACUACCACACAGACUCGAACAAGCACCAGGGCUCCGGGGUCCCCAGCCGCUUCUCUGGCUCCAAAGACGCCUCGGCCAAUGCAGGGAUUCUGCACGUCUCUGGGCUGCAGCCUGAGGACGAGGCUGACUAUUACUGUAUGAUAUGGGAUGGCAGCUCUAAGAGUUACACAGUGAUCUAGACACACGGGGAUGUGAAACAAAAAUCUCCUCCUCUUCUUCUGGCCCUGUGAUUUCAG